RNAcentral lists this ribosomal RNA (368 nucleotides) under uncultured organism. RNAcentral's name for it is "bacterial SSU rRNA". It matches the Rfam family "Bacterial small subunit ribosomal RNA", at positions 526 to 896 of the family's 1533-position model. The record is from RNAcentral.
CGAAGGAUCCAAGCGUUAUCCGGAUUUAUUGGGUUUAAAGGGUGCGUAGGCGGGCUAUUAAGUCAGUGGUGAAAUCCUGCAGCUUAACUGUAGAACUGCCAUUGAUACUGAUGGUCUUGAGUACACUUGAGGUAGGCGGAAUGUGCCAUGUAGCGGUGAAAUGCUUAGAUAUGACACAGAACACCGAUUGCGAAGGCAGCUUACUAAAUUGUAACUGACGCUGAGGCACGAAAGCGUGGGGAUCAAACAGGAUUAGAUACCCUGGUAGUCCACGCCCUAAACGAUGAUUACUCGAUGUGUGCAAUACACCGUACGCGUCUGAGCGAAAGCAUUAAGUAAUCCACCUGGGGAGUACGACCGCAAGGUUG